Molecule: ribosomal RNA, 496 nt
Filed under: uncultured bacterium
Lineage: Bacteria
Description: partial 16S ribosomal RNA
Rfam family: Bacterial small subunit ribosomal RNA
Source: RNAcentral
AUGAACGCUGGCGGCGUGCCUCAUACAUGCAAGUCGCGCGCACAGACGAGGAGCUUGCUCCUCUGACGUUAGCGGCGGACGGGUGAGUAACACGUGGAUAACCUACCUAUAAGUCUGGGAUAACUUCGGGAAACCGGAGCUAAUACCGGAUAAUAUAUUGAACCGCAUGGUUCAGUAGUGAAAGACGGUUUUGCUGUCACUUAUAGAUGGAUCCGCGCCGCAUUAGCUAGUUGGUAAGGUAACGGCUUACCAAGGCAACGAUGCGUAGCCGACCUGAGAGGGUGAUCGGCCACACUGGAACUGAGACACGGUCCAGACUCCUACGGGAGGCAGCAGUAGGGAAUCUUCCGCAAUGGGCGAAAGCCUGACGGAGCAACGCCGCGUGGGUGAUGAAGGUCUUCGGAUCGUAAAACUCUGUUAUUAGGGAAGAACAAAUGUGUAAGUAACUAUGCACGUCUUGACGGUACCUAAUCAGAAAGCCACGGCUAACUACGUG